This 293-nucleotide long non-coding RNA is filed under the name Salvia miltiorrhiza (redroot sage). RNAcentral describes it as "long non-coding RNA (SMIL_LNC000276)". The record is from RNAcentral. Lineage: Eukaryota; Viridiplantae; Streptophyta; Magnoliopsida; Lamiales; Lamiaceae.
CAUCAGAGAAGCCACCAUCCUCAGAGAAGUCCUCCACAUCAGAGAAGUCACCAUCCUCAGAGAAGUCCUCCACACCAGAGAAGUCAUCCACGUCAGAGGAGUCCUUCAUGCCAGAGAAGUCAUUACCGCCAGAGGAGACGCCCUUGCCAGAGAAGACGUGUUUACCAGAAGAGUUACCUCCACCAGAGAUGUCAACAUCACCAGAGAAGACGCCUUCGCCAGAAAAGACAUUUCCAUCAGAAGAGCCAACAAACGCGCGGGAAGGUCUCCCGCAUAUUAUCGAAAUUACCAGC